RNAcentral lists this ribosomal RNA (274 nucleotides) under uncultured bacterium. Its description in RNAcentral is "partial 16S ribosomal RNA". It matches the Rfam family "Bacterial small subunit ribosomal RNA", at positions 523 to 796 of the family's 1533-position model. The record is from RNAcentral.
AUACGGAGGGAGCGAGCGUUAAUCGGAAUUACUGGGCGUAAAGCGCGCGUAGGCGGCCUGUCAAGUCGGACGUGAAAUCCCACGGCUCAACCGUGGAACUGCGUUCGAAACUGUCAGGCUUGAGUCCCGGGGAGGGUAGCGGAAUUCCCAGUGUAGCGGUGAAAUGCGUAGAUAUUGGGAGGAACACCAGUGGCGAAGGCGGUUACCUGGACGGGUACUGACGCUGAGGCGCGAAAGCGUGGGGAGCAAACAGGAUUAGAAACCCCAGUAGUCC